Molecule: non-coding RNA, 472 nt
Organism: Paramuricea clavata
Lineage: Eukaryota; Metazoa; Cnidaria; Anthozoa; Malacalcyonacea; Plexauridae
Source: the annotation of a GenBank genome assembly
AUUGAAGGAUUAAAGCAAUUCUCGUGCGAAUAUCGACGCAGUAUUAAGCACUCGACAAAUUCUACAGCUAGUACUGCCAAAGGGAAAAUCAAAACCCAUGUUAUAUGACUUAUCACGCAUAUGAGAAGGCAUUGUCGAUCAUUCGAGAGGUAGGGAAAAGGAAAGAAUAUUUUCAUCCAUGCAGAGAAGAUAAAGUCGUGCUUUUGAUGCUGGUGAAUAUGCCCGAACGGUUGACUUUGCUAUUACCAGCAGAUAUUCUUAUUAUAAACACUGAAGAAACUGCAUGCUUUAAUACCAGUAAAUAUCUUAAUACUGUAUAUAUAUAGACAAUAUACUGUAACCUAGAUAUGAAUGUCUUAAAAUAGUAGGCCCUAAGGCUUGUGUCCAAUUGUCAAUUACAAGUCCAGCCAUUGACCAAUAUACAGUGAUUCAAUGUCUACUAACAUGUGAUUUGUUACUUUUGAUCAUUCUG